GCAGCAUCUUCUUUCUGUCAUUUUAACGACGUAAUUGUGCAAAACUGUUUUAAAAAUCACGAGUUUGAUUGACUGUCAUCACACUGAGGAACUGAGCUCAGAUUUAUCUUCGUAAACAAUUGAACAUCCAACUUUUAAAAGGGCCCCUAACGGGACCCUUCUGCUGAAGGCCUCGCCAGAAGCUCAGGCUGUGGGGCCCCGGCAGGCCGGCUACAGGGCCAGACCAGCGCAGGAGGUGGAGGAGGAGGCCCGGGCCCACGUCGUCUCCGAGGGUGGCGACGUCACCAACGCCACCCUGGUGCUGAGCCGGUGGAGGGUCCAGUUCGGCCGUUACCAGGGCCAGACCUUCCACUGGCUCCUGGAGAACGACGUGGGCUACGCCGUUAAUCUGGUUUCCUCUCACCAGAAGGAGCGAGAGAGGAUAGGGUCUCAGUCCCCGCUGAUGGCCAACAAGAUUCGUCAACUACCUGAGGAGGAAGGCGCCAGCUCCAGGCACGCAGAUGGAGAACGCCGUCUGCUACGUCAGAAGCCGAGACAGACAGAGGAGGAACCCUGCUGCUGCUGCUGCUGCUGCCACCACCGCUACCAGGACCUCCACCUCCUCCACCGUCAGCAGCAGCUCUGCCUCUGUCUCGGCUUCGACGCAGGGUCCCAGAGCUGCAUCCCAAUUUGCAGCCUUUGUCUCUGGCCGGCGUUCUCUGUCUGCGGUGGAAAUGCAGGCAAAGAUAAAGAAGCUGGUGGUGUCUAAGCCUGCAUUUCCAGCCUCCUCCAGACCAGCUCUUUCCUCAAAACCACCCGAGGACCCCACGGAUGAAGAGCUGGUCCAGGCAGUAGUUGACGUAGAGGAGUAAGAACUGGAAACCAAACACCUCAGCAGUACAGGCCCCUCUCUCACUCCUCCCUCCUCCUCCACCUCCUGUUACCUCCUCCCCGCCACGGGGGCAACAUGGAGACACUGCAGGGCCAGAGGAGCCCACUGAUGAGGAGAUGCUGGAGGCCUCACAGGAGCCUCAUGCUCCUCUGGCCCAGGCUCCACCACCAGCCCAGGCUCCACCUCUGGUGGCCCCAGCGGCCCAGGCUCCACCACCAGCCCAGGCUCCACCACCAGCCCAGGCUCCACCACGGGUCCAGGCUCCACCAGCGGUCCAGGCUCCACCACCACCUGCACUUACGGAGCAGAUGGCUGCCCCACCACCUCCUCCACCUGCUGGCAGUGCUGAGCUGCUCCCUGACUCCUGGAGAGCAGCUCUCACUGCAGAGCAGCAGCAGUGGAUCGGCCGGGUGCUGUUUUCCAGGGACAGCUCGGGGAGGCCACGGCUCAUCGGAGACCUGAACCUCUGGUGGUACCUUCCCCAGACCCGGCCGGUCUACAGUCAGCCUCCCGCGUCCCCCGACCCCUUCUUCACAUGUCGGCUGUUCCUGUGGAUGCCACACAGGAUCUGGCGUCUGCAGCUGACAUGCCCCCAGCCUUCAUGCACAGGGUCCAUGAUGAAGGCUGGGCUGUACAGGACCAUCCGGAGGGUCCUGGACAUCGACGGCUGGUAUCUCAUGGCCACUGAGUACCUAGAGUGCCAUCGAUGUAAGAAGAAGGUCGGAGGCUGGUCACAGGGCAUCAUCAGGCAGCUGCCUCACACCUACAGCUGCCAAUUUCCUGCUGUACUCACGUACAGGUUGUCCUGUGACCUGAGGGUGGUUGCACAGCUGAAGUCCCGCACUCUUGGCAACAGUGCCACUCAGCUGUGCAACACCCUGCGGGAGACCCACGCUGACUCCUGGAUGCGGAGAGCGAUCCACUACCUCGGCGUGUGCGAGCAGUUCCUGGCCUUGUGCUCCGUGAGGGGGCCGUUUCCACCACCGCCCCAGAUGCCCCCUCUGCCGUCAGCUGAGUGGCUGCUGACGGUCUACGGCUAUGACGUCCUGAUGCGGCUGGAGGAGGGAUCACGUCCACCUUUGGAUCCAUCUUGAAGAUGGAUUCAACCAAGAAGGUGACGAAGAAGCUUGCAGGUAUCGCCUCGGACACGGCCGUGUGGGUUACCAACGUCGGUAACGAGCAUGGGCAGGUCCUCAUCAGUGUCCUCACCUCCUCAGAGGGCUCCGAGGGCCUGUCCUGCAUGGCGGCCGGAUUGAUGAGGCGAUACCAGCACGCCGGGGUAGCUCCCCCCCAGCUCAUCUACGUCGACCGUGACUGCUGCAGCCGAGACGGCGUGUCCAAGACAGCUGCCUUAUUUCCAGAGUGGGGAAAGCUGCUGGUGAGGCUGGACAUCUGGCACCUGAUGCGGCGCUUCGCAUCAGGUGUCACCACUGAGUCUCACCAGCUCUACCCCACUUUCAUGAGGCAGCUGUCUCAUUGCAUCUUCGAGGUGGACUCUGGAGAUGCCUGCCGUCUCGCUGAGGCCAAGCGGUCCGAGCUGGAUGGGAAGCACGGGGUGGUCGGCCUGACGGACGCCGAGGUGAUCCGGAGGAUCUCCAAGGAGGAGUGGAGGCUCCACUGUCGUCGGCGGACGCGUUGGGCCGAGGAGACCGCACUCCUCAUCAACGACCUCCUGGACACCUUCGGCGGUCCGGCCGGACGCGACACCCUGGACAUCCCGCUGCUAGACGCUCUCCGCAUCCAGGACAUCUGGAAGACGCAGAGACGCCACCUCAGCUGCAUUCAGGACCCACCGGGGGUGCAGCUGUACACCCAGACCGGCAGGCUGACAAAGGGCGGGGUCAGCCUGCCAGUUUAUCGCUGCGCCAGGGGCUCCACGUCCCUGGAGUCCUUCCACCUCCACCGGUUCAUCCCAGGUAACAGUGCCAGCGCCAAAUACUUCCAGGCGUUCCUGGUUGAUGGACUGGUGAGGUGGAAUGAGGACAGAGCAGCAGCAGCUGCACCUCCGGUUGCAGCUGAGGAGCAAGUGGCGUCUCUGCGCUCCUACUGUGGCCACCUCAAGCACAUCCUGAACCAGAAGAGCCAACGGGUGCUUGGCCUUCACAUGGUUCAGGACUUCACCAGGCCUGCUGCGUACACAGGUGAGCUCAUCGGGGUGGAGUACCUGUACCAGCAGACCGGACGUGUGCUUGAGGAUGUCAGUCUGGACCCUGACGCUCCGGACGAGGCUGCUGCCAUCCAGGCGCUGGAGGAGGCGGAUGAGGGGUUCGAGGACGACGUCGGGGACCCCACGGUCUUCGAGCCAGAGCCCCCCGCCGCCAUCACAGCGGCAGCAGCCCGGUCAGGUGAUCCAGCUGACGCACCCAGGUCUGAGCCAUCCUGUCUGGCCGCCCCUGACCAGGACGCCCCUCCUGAGGCCCCUGAAGGACCAACUCCGGCUGCCCCACACUCCUCCGACUCUGAGGAGGAGAUCCAGUGUGUCCUGAAGCUGGCCCAGGCCCUGGUGGAGAUCCGGAACCUUCAGGGGCUCUCUGACAGCAGGGUAGACAGGCUCAUUGCACUCUGGCAACGCCUGCCAGAGUGUGACAAGCGCCGAGUCGUCUACCCUGCCAGACACCAGGAGAGGCAGCCCACGGGGCGGUUCAAGGCAGCGAAGGGGAAGAACACCUCCUGUCCUGGAAAGGAGAGUCUCUAAAGCUGCCUGCUCGGACAGAACGCGGGCCCUGCAAACUGGCCCAGCGCCAGUCGCCUGGUCGAGGCCGCUUGCAGCCAGCUCUGCCGUCUCCACCCAGCCACAGCCCGUGUCGGUGGGGUCCCAAAGACCCGGUGGUCCCUGGUCCUCACCGACUACGUGGCCAUCAGAGAGGCAGUGCUGGUGUGCCCGCGUCUGAUGGCUCAGACCACCAUCCAGCUCUUUGAGCUGAAUCAGAGGACCCUGUCUCAGUGGUUCUCACGUCAUCAGAAGGCCUGGGAGAGGACUGUGCUGGAGCAGGGAACUGGCAUCGUCUCUGCUCCAGCAGUAGCAGAUGAGCCUCUCCCUGCUGCCAAAGGGCUGUCCCUGGUGCAGGUGGGACAGGGACAGCCAUUCGUGUUCCCUGGACCUGAGGAGCAGCCUGGACCAUCAGCUGGAGGUCAGCCAGCCCCUCCUCCUCCUCCUCCUCCGCCGCCUCAUCAGCAUCCUCCUCCUCCUCCGCCGCCUCAUCAGCAUCCUCCAGCCAUCGGCUCUGCUCCUGCAGCCGCUCCUCUUCCUGGACUGACUCGGCUGCCGAGGACGACGGCUUACAGGAAGAGGAAGGCAGCCGAGGCGGCUGCUGCGGCUGCUGCUGCGGGAGAGGGCCCUCCACCAGGGACUAAAGCCCGCCGGCAGACUGCACAGUACACCUGCAGUAAGUGUGGCCAGCUCAAACGGCUGGACACUGGCCACACACGCAUUGCGGGUGUGUCGUACUGUGCAGCUGUCGGCGGGAUGACUGUAGAGGAGUGGAGGGAGAAUAUGAGGAGGCCUCCAGAGGAGAAAGGGGACUAAAAUUUUUUUUUUCAUUAAAAUUAUUUUUGGUUAAAUACAUGUUAAGAUAUAUAUAUAUAUAUAUAUAUAUAUAUAUAUAUAUAUAUAUAUAUAUAUAUAUAUAUAUAUAUAAAUAAAAAUAAAAAUAGAAUUUAUUAAAUAAAGAGAAUGUCAUCUGCA
Molecule: long non-coding RNA, 4556 nt
Organism: Amphiprion ocellaris (clown anemonefish)
Lineage: Eukaryota; Metazoa; Chordata; Actinopteri; Pomacentridae
Source: Ensembl